This 200-nucleotide long non-coding RNA is filed under the name Chinchilla lanigera (long-tailed chinchilla). RNAcentral's name for it is "lncRNA (ENSCLAG00000022448.1)". Lineage: Eukaryota; Metazoa; Chordata; Mammalia; Rodentia; Chinchillidae. The record is from RNAcentral.
AGUCUUUUGAACUAAAAGGAAUAUUACCUGAGUUAGGUUCCUGGAACUGAACUCCAGCAGGAGGCCUCUAGGAAGUAAGCAAACGGAAAGAAAUAAGUAGAAACAUACAUUUUGGACACCAAAGCAGAUUGGUCUCCCAACAGGUCAUUACUAAUAGUCAACAAGGGCUGAGAAACUCAAACUGAUGAGAUUUAUAGCAC